RNAcentral lists this ribosomal RNA (216 nucleotides) under Glomeromycotina sp. RNAcentral describes it as "partial small subunit ribosomal RNA". The stretch from base 40 to 216 matches the Rfam family "Eukaryotic small subunit ribosomal RNA", at positions 686 to 864 of the family's 1831-position model. The record is from RNAcentral. Lineage: Eukaryota; Fungi; Glomeromycota.
GGGUCAGUAGGUUGGUCGUGCCACCGGUACGUACUGGUCUCACUGAUUCCUCCUUCCUGAAGAACCGUAGUGCCAUUAAUUUGGUGUUGCGGGGAAACAGGACUGUUACUUUGAAAAAAUUAGAGUGUUUAAAGCAAGCUAACGCUUGAAUACAUUAGCAUGGAAUAAUGAAAUAGGACGAUCGAUCCUAUUUUGUUGGCUUCUAGGAUUGACGUA